This 510-nucleotide long non-coding RNA is filed under the name Theobroma cacao (cacao). RNAcentral's name for it is "long non-coding RNA (TCAC_LNC006037)". Lineage: Eukaryota; Viridiplantae; Streptophyta; Magnoliopsida; Malvales; Malvaceae. The record is from RNAcentral.
AGAAAAUUAGUUCAUGAUGAAUAAUAAAAACAAAAUCCAAAGAAAUAUAACCAAAGUAACAAUUCAAGAAAAACAAAGUAAAAAUAGAGAAGAAAAUAAAACUAAAGAUUAUCAUGUCUUCGAUAUUCAAUCUUUCGAGUUUUUCUUCACUUUCUUGCUUGCUUGAUGACUUUUUUUCUUCAGAGAAAACCUAGCUUCAUUGUUUUCUGUAAGUUCUCUGAAAUGGUUUUUAAAUAGGCCUUAGAAUCCACUCAUAAUGAAAUCCCAUAAUUUGUGCCUGUGGAAGUAAUCAUGUUGGUGCUACAGUUGUGGCUUUUUGGCAUCGCGACACCUUUUUCUCGAGUCGAUAUAUGGGAUAGCUUCCUCUCAUGGUGUCACAACGAUAGCUUUCUAGCACUGCAGCCUUAAGUUCACAAGUUGCAUUAUAGAGCCUCUUUUUAGCAUGACGUUGAGGUGCCUUUUUCUUUAUGGCUAUAGCGCUCAAAGUUUUGCCUUGCCUUGUUAUCUCUG